UCCCGGCUAGCUCAGUCGGUAGAGCAUGA
Molecule: non-coding RNA, 29 nt
Filed under: Drosophila melanogaster (fruit fly)
Lineage: Eukaryota; Metazoa; Arthropoda; Insecta; Diptera; Drosophilidae
Also listed under: 4 other names
Source: RNAcentral